Long non-coding RNA from Telopea speciosissima, 519 nucleotides. RefSeq lists it as uncharacterized. NCBI's taxonomy places the organism in Eukaryota, Viridiplantae, Streptophyta, Magnoliopsida, Proteales, Proteaceae. The record is from RefSeq and is a predicted model, not a curated record. The transcript has 4 exons.
AAAAUAUAAGGAAAGCCAUGAGAUUCAUGCGUUAAGCUAACGAACACAAACUGCACAAUCGCUGCAAAAAUUUUGACCCACCUCAGCCUUCCAAACGAAAACCAACCCUAAUUCCCGUCUCUUCAAUUUAUGAUCUUUUAAUUGCCCCAUUCCCACCUUCAGGUCCCAAUUUCACCAACUUCUCUUCGUUCCAGCUUCGGCGGCUGUUCUCUAAUACAAGGAAUUUCUUGGUCAAGAUGACUUCUGUUUGCCCAUUCACUAAAGCUGCACACCCAGAUGAUACCUGUCCAAGGAAUUCUGGGGAAAGCCAUAACAGACACCAGACAGAGAAUGGAAGCAAGGUUAACAAGGAAACUGAUGAUUCGACUAUAUAUAGUGCCUCCCAAGUGCCCAUUUGGAUAUGAUUCUCACACAUUUAAGUUGGGCCCUCUCAGCUGCAUUAUUUGCCAAGCCCUUCUCUUUGAAAGUAGCAAAUGUGUUCCUUGUUCUCAUAAGUAUUGCAGAUCAUGUAUAUCUCAA